GGAAAAUGCAUAUUUAGAGUGUUUCAAAAUGCAAGGAUGUGGUUAUAGCCUAGCCUGAUCCUAUCUUCCAUAACUGAAGAGGGUCUCUUUACCAAUCUCGGUAUAAAUGGAAAGUUGUGUCCCAAAUGGAAGAGGCGAAACACAAAUAUGUCAUGAUUCUUACUACUGGAACAACUUUUGAAAACUCAUCAAUCCAAGCCCUCAAAUUCAACAGGCACGCCACAAAUCAAGCCGAGAGAGCAUUACAUGUACUAUCUAAAAAUGAUGUGUCAUAUGAUACAGGAACCUUAUCCAUUCACAACUGAAAGCUAAACAUGAGAUAUCAAACCCAAUUGUUCCUUUUUAUCGACAAGGUCCAAAGACAAUAAUUAACCAAGACCAAUAGAUAAGCAGUGGCAAAAUUCACAAGUAGCAUGCACAUUUUGCAUAUCAAAUUAAAAACUUCAUCUCUUCUAUUGCCAUGGAAGUCCAAGCUCAAAUUAGAUCUGCCACAUUCAUAGGCAUUUCAUUUAUCUGGGUACUGUAGUACUGCUCUAUAACUCGUAAGAUUUUGAUAUCAUCACUUUUAACAAAGUUGAUUGCAACGCCUUGCACGUCAUCAUAAAAUUAAGUAAUUACAAAUAAAUAUCAUAUAAGGAUAAACUCAAAAAUAUAACACAAAAAGAAAGCAGAUGUUACAGGAUAGAUUAAAACAAAAUAUGAUAAAAGUAAAUAAUUUAACAAGUUUCAGUUAAUGAUGAUGUGUUGGAUCUACAGCAGUUAAUAUCCAG
RNAcentral lists this long non-coding RNA (770 nucleotides) under Olea europaea subsp. europaea. Lineage: Eukaryota; Viridiplantae; Streptophyta; Magnoliopsida; Lamiales; Oleaceae. The record is from RNAcentral.